This 207-nucleotide long non-coding RNA is filed under the name Elaeis guineensis (African oil palm). RNAcentral describes it as "long non-coding RNA (EGUI_LNC017094)". Lineage: Eukaryota; Viridiplantae; Streptophyta; Magnoliopsida; Arecales; Arecaceae. The record is from RNAcentral.
UGUUACAAUUUUAUUUUAUUUUAUUAUUUUUUUAUAAUUAAAUUUUAAUUUUAAUUAAUGUAAAAUUUAUUUUUUUAUAAUUUAAAUUUUUAUAAUUUAUUUUUAUUGUAAGUAGAUGCUAAGAUCUAGUUAGUAGAUCUUAGUACCAAUUUAUUUUUAUACUCUUUAAAUUUUUAUUAUUUAUUUUUAUUGUAAGUAGAAGCUAGA